Long non-coding RNA from Gordionus sp. m RMFG-2023, 259 nucleotides. RefSeq lists it as uncharacterized. The transcript is spliced from 3 exons. NCBI's taxonomy places the organism in Eukaryota, Metazoa, Nematomorpha, Gordioida, Chordodea, Parachordodidae. The record is from RefSeq and is a predicted model, not a curated record.
CAAGAAUUGACCUUCUGGAUUUAUAUCCUAAAACAUUGAUGAUAGCCUUGCUCAUUUGUGUUCUACAAAAUUCUACCAACAUUAUGAUGUUAAGUAGCUCUCUGAAUGUUGUACUGCAUGAUAGAAUAUUUUUGUUUUGCAAUAGAUGUUGAUAGACUGCCCUCUACUGAUUUAUGCUUUGAAGAUUUUUGAUGCCUCAAAAUAUCAUAUUCCCUUCCCCCAUUGUAUUAACUAAAUACUGUAGAACAACUUCCCCGCA